GACGAACGCUGGCGGCGUGCUUAACACAUGCAAGUCGAACGGAAAGGCCCUGCUUUUGUGGGGUGCUCGAGUGGCGAACGGGUGAGUAACACGUGAGUAACCUGCCCUUGACUUUGGGAUAACUUCAGGAAACUGGGGCUAAUACCGGAUAGGAGCUCCUGCUGCAUGGUGGGGGUUGGAAAGUUUCGGCGGUUGGGGAUGGACUCGCGGCUUAUCAGCUUGUUGGUGGGGUAGUGGCUUACCAAGGCUUUGACGGGUAGCCGGCCUGAGAGGGUGACCGGCCACAGUGGGGGUGAGAGACGGCCCAGACUCGUACGGGAGGCAGGCGUGGGGAGUGUUGCGGAAUGGGCCGCAGCGUUAUGCAGCAGCGCCGCGUGCGGGAUGACGGGCUUCGGGGUGUAAACCGAAAUCGCCUGUGACGAAGCGUGAGUGACGGUACGGGGUAAAGAAGCACCGGCUAACUACGUU
Molecule: ribosomal RNA, 468 nt
Filed under: uncultured bacterium
Lineage: Bacteria
Description: partial 16S ribosomal RNA
Rfam family: Bacterial small subunit ribosomal RNA
Source: RNAcentral